CUGCUAGCGCUAGCGCGGCGGUGAUAACCGAGGGAGGUGGGUGAGAGGUGCGGCUGUCGAGGCAAACGCAGAGCACCCGCCCAGUCCUCCAAGGGCCGAGAGCCGGGAGUCCCGAACGCCGCUUAAGCAGCUCCUUGCUUCCCGCAGCCCGUCCACAUCCCUGCGGGAUUUCUGGACGCCCCGCCCGGGGACCUAGGGAGGAGGGAGAGAGGAGGGAGGGAGUGGGCAGCCUGGGCGCACGCCACCGGUCCCCGUACGCCCGGCACCCCCCGUGGCGCGGCGAGUCAAUGGGAUUUGCACACUCGAGGUGUAACAGCAUUACUGCAUUAAUUACCAUUUCCAUUUCACGUCCAGAUUGUUUACUUAUCUGCGGGAAACAUAUGUCGGGAGAAGUUCACAUUCCGGAUUCUGCUCCGCUGCCCAAGGUGCAAUUCCGGGGAGGCGGCGAGGGGGGAGGGGAGGGCUUCAGAUUUUUUAUUACACCCUCUAGCCUUAUCUGCCGCUGUAAAUUAUGAGGAUCCUCCAUUGAGCGGCAUAUGGAGAUUAUAUACUUUUUUGAAUAUCGUUUCCCAAAGCCUGCAGAUUUUCACUUUGAAAUGAAACAAUCCUCCGCUGGUUCCCCCGGGGACAGGCGUCUCCUGCGUUCCCCCGCGCGGCCUGGGGGACCCUUCUCGCAGAGCAGGCGCGCACCCCAAUGCCGUGGCCGGCGCCCAGUGGAGACUUCUUUCACAGGGUCUAGAAUAAUCUUCCGCGGAACACCCAUCCAUAUGCAGUGUUUGAGAACUAAGGCAGCUCCCUUGCUCUGUUUUCCUGCGCCUAGCCCCCGGACUUUUGUGCCGUUUGCAGCUCUUUUUCAUUUCGAAUACCCGCAUAGACGCGAGCCCACUUCUGCCCUCUUCCUACGCUGGGCGGCUCCAAACCCGCCGCGAGGGCUGAGGUGUUCACACCUGCCCACGGCAGCCUGCCUCGCCCUCAAGCGCCUCAAAGCUUCCUAAGCGCUUACAUUGGUCUUGGGACAGCCGACUUUGGCUUCUUUGUUUGUUUGAGGGACCGCGGAAGUGGCGGGGAAUGUGCCCCCGCUUGAGACCGCUUAUUGUGAGCCCUCAACGGAAAUCCUGCACGGAAGGCAACCGCCUCCCCGCUCGCGAAGGCUUCAUUUGCUCUGAGUUAUCAUUGAGAACUAAAUGGAGAAGAAAAGAACUGAAGGCCUGAAGAUAUGUCAUCUGUAGAAAAGGUGGCCUCUUCUCAAGCUUUCUUGGCAAAUCAAGAGCUUCUGCCUUUUGGAGGACAUCCUCUUGACCUCCCACCCAUAUCAGCUCUUAGAGGACAUUCCACAGGAACAUUGCCUUCUUGUCCUCCAGUAUUUUUUAUGGAAACAGAAAUUAGGUUAUCUUCCUUAUGCUCUAGAUGGACAUCUGAAAUCAUCAAACCCUUGAGAGAAACAGCCCUCAUUCUUUUAUGAGACAACCUGGAAGAAAACAGGACUCUGAAGAUUUGUCUCCAUAUUCUCUGGAAAGAUGUACUCUGUUUGCAAUAAGAGGGAGCCACAUGGUUUAUUAGAUGGUUAUUAAUUGAGCAUUCUGUGCAAAGAAGUUUGUGCCUUAGAUUUAGAAUUCCACCCUCAGUUGGAAUACAGAUGAUCCCUAACAAGUCACAUGAAAAAAUGAACUGUGGAGCCAGAAGAGUGAGUUCUUGGAGAACUAAGGGCCAGAGACCUGUGAGCAAGAUUUGAUAAUUUUAUAAAAAUUAAAAGACGAUUUGAAAUGUUAUUGGUCUUACUAAAACUUUUACUUGUGAACUGCAAUUGAUGACAUGAUCACUUGUGCCAAUUAUAAUUUUAUACCAAAGGACUGCAGAGCAUUGGAUGGGUUUGUUGGGCAGGUUUCUCACAAACGCUGACAGAAAGGUAUGACGAAGGAUGGGAGGACAAACUGGGGGGGUGCCAAGUAGAAAAACAGAAGCGAUGGCUAAGUGCUCGUCCUGGACUCUGCCCUUUGAUAAGGGACUGAAGGUCCCUUAUGAUCUUCUUUCAAAUUCCACCGUCACAGUUUUAGUCACAUCCAUCUAUAAUAUUAUUUACUAUCAGACUUUUCUUUAAAUUGACUCGCUUUUUCACUUUAGCCUUAUCCCAAGCAAUAAUGCAUAUAAAUCAUAAGUUUGUUGUAAUAGAUUUUUUGUAAUACUAAUCAAAAUUAAAUUUAUUCCCCUGUAACAGAGAUAAUUUCUCAAAUUACUUUGGAAAACACCAAUUUAAAGUGCUCAGUUUACCACUUGAGGAAAAUGAGAGAUCAGAGGAGUAAAGCCAAUUUUCCAAGGUCACACAGCCUGACAACUGGAAAUCCUGGCCUAGCACCUAAGUCUUUUAGGUAUUGGCCCAGUACUCUUUCCUUCUAUCAUCUUUCUCAGAGGCAAAGAAAAAAAAAAAAACUAUCAGGCAAUUAGCACUAUCUCUUGAGGGUAGAGGGCGUGAAGAUUCACCAGGUUCUCUCAUAAAGUUUAAACACUUUCUCGGUGGUGCUAAACCUUAUCUUGGUUACUCAGACUGUCUUCAGUCUGUUAAUUAUAUUGCAUAAAACCUAACACAUUUCCAUGAAAGGAGCUCUAAGGGAAGAAGGACCUGAAUGGGUUUUGAGAGCCAGGGCCUGCCUAUCCUUUAAGAAGGUCGUCUGGGCAGGAGAAAGCAGGAAGGGAAGGGAAAGGCCACUAACCAUAAGCAGUCCAAUUGUGGGUAAGUCACUAGUGUCAAGGAAUGUAGUCUCCUCAGUCAGGCAGGGUCCAGGUGCUGCAUACUGCCCAAACUGCCUGCCUUCCCCUGGAUAUUUGUUUUAUCUUGGAGCAUGUCGUGGCCUCAGAGAACUGAAUUCUUAAUCUGUGGCCUUUCAAAGUCUAUGGUUGUUUCCAACAUCACAUUGUCUCAGAUUUGUUACUCGCAGCACAGAUUCGAAAUGAGCCUUCAGUAAAAGUAAAAAGAAAGGAAGAAAGAAAGAAAGAAAGAAAGAAAGAAAGAAAGAAAGAAAGAAAGAAAGAAAGAAGAAAGAAAGAGAAAGAAAGAAAGAAGAAAGAAAGAAAGAAAGAAAGAAAGAAAGAAAGAAAGAAAGAAAGAAAGAAAGAAAAGAAAGAAAGCCAGCCAGUGGAAGAGUUUAGCCCCCACAAAAGCAAAAAGCACCCAGCAAAUCAAGCAUUUUCUUGCAGACUUGUGCUAAUUUUGUUUAUUUGUUUAUUACAAGGUGCUCUAAACCUCCUGGGGUAUUCCACAGCUUUAAUGACUAUGUGUAACACCACCUAGCUAACACUGCUUUUCCAUUCAGUCAACUCAGUCUCACAGCAGUCCUCACAACUACGUGGUUUCAGGUAUUAUUUUACAGAGGAGGCUGGAGCUUUGGGAAGUUAAGUGGCUUGCCUACAGUCACAAAGCCAAUACGAAGAGGACCUGAAACUCAGAUCUUUUUUCCCUCCCAGUUUGGGAUUCUUGCUAUCACCCUAUCACACUUCUAGACCUGUAUCUCUUGCAUCUCUAUCGUUCUUUCCUCAAGUCAACAUACAUUUCUCCAGAGUCCUAAUGUCCUUCAUCUUACCUUGGCACAAUAAGCAAUUCAUUGGGACUUUUCCGCUUUGGAUUUGUUUUGUCUUUCUCAUUCUUUUGAGGCUGCAGAUUAGCAUUUUGGCUAAUCACUUGGGUAUUAAAAGUUAGACCCUCUGGGCCUAAAUCCUAGAACUACUCCUUGCUAGCUAUGCCAACAUUAGCAAGUUGCUUAACCUCUCUGUGUCUCACUUACCUCAUCUGCAAAAUGGAAAUUGAAAUAGUCUUCGUAGGUAAUGAUAGCCUUGAAGGCCUUACAGGAUUAUUUUGAGGAUUAAAGGACACAAUGGUUGUAAAGUACUUAAGUAUCAUGCCACGCAAUUAAUGUUAGAUAUAAUUUUGAGUGUUUUCUCUUUUUUCACCCCUUUAAAAAAUCUUCUUUUGAAUUCAGGAUUCCUUUUCCCCAUAUAUUUUUAUGGUGAAUGAGAAUAUCGGCUUAGGGUCUACUCUGUUCAUCUCUUGAAAACGACAUUAUACUUUUUCUUCUAAAAAAUGAUACAAAGAGAAUCCCCAGCCUUUUCCCCCUCUCCCUGUGGCUACAGUUUUCCCAUCAUUUUAAAAGGUUAUUUCUUUUCUUCAUAGCACAAUGUGGUGGGAUGAAGGGGAAAUGGUUUAGAAAAUUUUAAAUUGAUGUAUCUUAUUUGUUUCCCCCAGUUAUAUUGAAAAGAAGAAAAUCUCUCCAGUUUCAGAAACACUGGCCUUUUGGAUACUGAGGAGUUGGAAAUGGAAAGGGGAUUUUAAUGAGUUUCUCGGCAAUGAGGCUAGAGAAAAUAUUAUCCAUCUCCCCCUGUUCUCCAAUUCAGCAGCUCGGACUCCUGUUUUCAUCACAGUCCUGUUAGAUAAUUACAGCCCCAAAGGCCUCCUGUUCCUUCUUUCUGUGUUCCCUGAAUCUUCUUUCCCAGAGCCAGGACCUCUUGGAAAUUCUCAGCCUCUGUUAGUUGCCCGCUCUGGGAGCCCGACUCCUCACAUCCGUCAUCUCUUUCUUCUCCCCCUUCACCUGCUGUAGUGUCCCCACUGUCUCUCUUUACCUCAGCUCCUUACCAUUCCUUUCCCUCUACACCCUUUUCCUUUGGUUCAUAGUCAGGAUGUGCUAGUUGCAUUCAAGCCCUUUUUGAUACUAAGAAUUCAGGGGGACAAAUCCAAACCCUGGAGACUACUGUCUUCCCCUUAGUGAUGCUAAUGAAUAUAAUUCCUGAUCUGAAAUUACCUGCACUUUAUUUGGCUCCAUCUACUUUUCUGCCACUUACUCCCUGUAUAACCAUAGGCUACGUACCCUACCUCUCUCUGGGUUUGUUUACUCCUCAGUUAAAAGGAGGAUUAAAAUGGCAAUCACAACACCUUGCUACAGAUAUGUUAGGAAGAUUAAAUGGGAUAACAUGCAGGGUGCCUAGCCUUCCUGGCAUAUAGUAAAUGCCUAUAAAAUAUAACAAGUGUCAUGUAUUAUUAUUAAAUUGUAUCUACCUGGUAGAAACUAAUGGAGUGGACUACUUUAUUAAUUUAGAUUUCUCUCUUUUUCCUUUCCUAUGAUAUUUAAGCUGGAAAACCCAGUAUAGUUUAAAAAAUCAGUUGUUCAGUCAUUGUUUAUACAAUCUAGAUUCACUUAAAUAAUCUCUCCAGUUUUUAUGUAGACCCAAUGACAUGCAGAAUAAUAAACUAAGGGAGAGGGUUUGGUCCACACCUUCAGGGUCAGAAAACAGAGUUUUAACCCAGAUAGAAUGGUGAAAGGGCUUAUAAGAAAUUACUGAACUUUAAAGCUGUGGUCUGUGCAUACCCAGAGUCUUUUUUUCUUUCUUUCUUUCUUUUUUUUUUUUUUUUUUUUGCGACGGAGUUUCGAUCUUGUUGCCCAGGCUAGAGUGCAGUGGCACAAUCUCGGCUCACUGCAACCUCUGCCUUCUGGGUUUAAGUGAUUCUCCUGCCUCAGCCUCCCGAGUAGCUGGGAUUACAAGUGCCUGCCACCAUGCCCAGCUAAUUUUUUGUAAUUUUUUUAGUAGAGAUGGGGUUUCACCAUGUUGGCCAGGCUGGUCUCGAACUCCUGACCUCAGGCUAUCCAGCCACCUUGGCCUCCCAAAGUGCUGGGAUUACAGGCGUGAGCCACCGUGUCAGGCCUCCCAGAGUCUUAUUUCAUUUUAUUUUAUAUAUUUUUUGAGACAAGGCCUUGCUCCGUCACCCAGGCAACCUCGACCUCCUGGGCUAAAGCUAUACUCCCGCCUCAGCCUCUCUAGUAGUUGAGAUUACAGGCAUAUGCCAUCACAUCCAGCUAAUGUUUUUUGUAUUUUUGUAGAGAUGGGGUCUCACUAUGUUGCCCAGGCUGGUCUUGAACUCCUAGGCUCAAGCAAUCCUCCUGCCUCAGCCUCCCAAUAUUCUGGGAUUACAGGCAUUCACCACCAUGUCUGGCCUACCUGGGGCUUUAGAAGUUUAGAGCUUAGAGAAACACUUGAGAGCUUUGAGGUCACCCUCCCAUUUCCAGAUUAAAAAAAAAAAAAUCAAGGGCCAGGAACAGCAAAGUGUCAUGGUUAAGGUCACACAGGGGACGGUGGCAGAGAAAAGUCAUUUGGGGCCUACCUUUAUGUAGGCUACACUUCCCUAUGCUGCCAGAACAAUGAAUGAGAAAAGGAAACAUUUAGUCCAUUGUUUUGGGCCUUCUUUUGAUACUGAAUGCUUUUGUUUUUGUGCCUGUACACAUGCGAAGCCUCUGGUGGAAUGGUCUGUGGGCACUGUGACAGACAAGCAGCACUAUUAAUACUGGUGGCUCAAAGUAAUGACUGCCUGUGUGUUGACUGCCUAUGCUAUGCCGGGGGCUUUGUGUUCAUAUCAUUCCAUCUUUACUAGUUACUACAACUCUUCAGGGUAAUGUGAUUCUACCUUGUGGAUCCAGGAGACUAAGUACCCGGCCCACCGUCCUUACAGACCCAGGUGCAUAUUGAGAACUGUGUGUCUGCAGAGAAUAUGCACUUUUUCCUGUGUCAUGCUGCUUAAUCCAUGCUCAGAACUGACUUCCUGAGAAAGUGACAAGGAGAGAAGGAGAGUGUGAGAGGACAAGGCCCAGAACAAGAGGGUAAAGAUGUUUGGAAGAAUCAAUUCGGGAAGACUUCCUGGGAGACGAAGUUUUGUAAAGAGUUGAGGGUAAGUCUGUACGGGGGCAUGGAAAAACAAGUCUAGUUUACAAAUGUGUCUUUUUACUGCCUCGUAUUCAGUUUCUGUGUCAAAUGUUUAAAAAGGCUCGCUGUGUUUAUUUAAAAAUAUAAAACCAGGCAAGACUGGCUUUUUCACUCAGCAUAAUUUCUUUCAUUUACGUGACAUUCUUGAAAAGAUAAAAGUAUGGUGAUGAAGAAAAGAUCACUGGUAGCUGAGGGUUGAGAACUAGGGGAAGGUGUGACCAACAAAUGGGUCACACCAGGAAAUUUUUGAGGCCUUAGAACUGUUCUGCAUCCUGAUUGUAAUAAUGGUUGCAUGAAUCUACCCCCAUGUUAAAAUUUGUAGGACUGUCAAUUGCAUUGUAUCUUAUUUUUUCAAAUUUAUUUAUUUUAAAUUGACAUACAAAAUAUGUAUUUAUCAUGUAGAACUUGAUGUUUUGAAGUAUACAUACAUUUUGUAUAUACAUUUUUUAAAUAAAACGAAAUUAUAAAACAAGGCACAGAAACAUAUUGAAGAACACUUGGGCUGUAUUCACGGUGAUGGGGAAGUAUCUCAUUAAAUCAGCCCCUCUUCAGUAUGUCACCUGGUGCCUCUCAUAGUAUAGACCUGAUUUCCAGCUAACAACUGAACUUCUCAGGGUACCAGCCGAGGGCUAGGGGCUUAUCCCUUAUAAUUCUAGGUUCCAACUCUUCUGUGGGCCCCUUUGUUCACUCCAUCUGAGGCAGUAGGGAUGGAUGGACAAGGAAAGGAGGGGGAUCACAUUUGGGUGGGAAUGUACAUCUUGCUAACAAUGUUUUUUUUUUAUUUUUUUAAGAGGCCUUGCUAUCGUCCCAGAGUAUGGAUGACAUUUCCCCUAAACCUAUUAUCUCAUGAAAUUAAGUACAGAUAAAGAAAUUCUCUAAGACGGAAUGUUAUUCUAAUGUAGCAUUAAACCCUCUUGCAACCAUAAUAGCAACUGCUACCAUUUACUGAGAGCCUUCUCACGGGAUCAGGCAUUUUACCUACAUGUGCUGCCUCUGUUCUUCCUCACAACCAUCCUAUUGAGAAGUUUGUCAUUUCCUCAUUGCUCAUGUGAGGAAAUAAGAGCUGAUAACUUUGAACACAGUUAGAAGGCUAAUCCUUGGCAGAGCAGGGAUUUUAAUCUAGGUCUCAGACUCCAAGUGUUGGUGUCCUUCCUGUCACUUCCACUGGCCAUUUCAGCUGGGGUCAUCCAGGUCUACUGAGGAGACUGCCCUGCCCCACCUCUCCUCCUCCUCCUCACUCACCACUACAGGCAACCUCAUUUCCCAACCUGCCCACUUAGACUCCUCACCCCAGAUCUUACCUUUACAACCUGUCCCCACUGUCACCCAGCCUCUUAAGAGGUUUGUCCCUGCUUUGACUCCGUCUAUUCCCAGCCCUCCCAUUCUUCCCCUUUAUGCUCUUGGAACUAUCACCAGUAGCUUGGAAACCGGGAGGAUACACGAAGUCAGGAGAAGUUGAGCUCCUGGCACUCCACAUGGUCAGCCACACUUAUCCUUACAGACCUUGUUAUAAAGGGUGGUCAGGCAGCAUAAGCUGUUGGCUGAUCAGACCAUUACUCUUUUUCUCUUCAUGCAUAGAUAUGAGUGUUGGAGGGAACCUCAGCCCUUAUCUUGUCUAAGUUGUAGGAAUUGCCAAGACCUUGGUGGGCUGACUUGGGAAUCCAGUCAUCAUGCAGAGCUGUGAUCCUCACAGUGUGUGCACCAGCAUCAACUGGGAGCUUGUUAGAAAUGCAGAUUCUCAAGCCCCUGCCCAGAUUUACUGAAUCAAAAAUUCUGGGGGUGGGGCCCAGCAAUCUGGGUUUUAACAAGGCCUCCACGGGUGCUUCUGAAGCAUGGUACGUUUGGGAUUUACUGAUCUAGACCAAUGCUUCUCAGACUUUAAUGUACAUAAAAAUGCCAAAGAGUCGGUUGCCAGAUUUAGCAAAUAAAAAUACAGGUGUACUUAUGGAAUAUGCUUAUACUAAACAAAUGCAUUGUUUAUCUGAAAUUCAAAUUUAAUUGGGUGCCCUGUAUUUUAUCUGUCAACCCUACCUGAGUAUUUUUUUAAAUGCAGCUUCUGAUUCAGUAGGUCGAAGGUGAAUCCUGAGAUUCAGUAUUUCUGACAAGCUCCCAGGUGACGGAUGCCCAAGCUGCCAGACGCACUGAGAGCAAGGAUCUAGAGCUACUUGUUACAUGCAGAUCCUGAAACUCUCUCUCAACCUACUGAGUCAGGUUGUCCCAGGGAGACACUGAUUUAGAAUGUUGUAACCAAGGGACCAUGCGUUCUGAGUCACAAACAUCCCAUUUACAAACUGUAAGUUCAGGAUUCACACAUAGGUGAGACUCUGCAUACACAGUAGUGGAGAUAACCAAGAAUGGGGUGGUUUUGCUGAGAGGCAGGGAGGAAAAGAGAAAAGUGCUGAGGUAGAUGACCAACUCACUGUGGGAGUGGAGGACCCAGGAAAUAGGAGGCUUGUUGCAACUCUGGGAAGGAGUAAAACGUGGGGCUGCCUGUCCCCCAGGACCCCAAAACACAAGCAACACCUCCAUGUGCAAGAUGCUAAUAGGCACAUUUAUUGAGCCUCUCCUGUGUUGAGAAACUCCAGGUGAUAUCUCAUUUCAGUUUAUUCUCAAGCAAUACUUUGAAAUUGAAAUUCUUUACCCCAUUGAGAAGAUGAAGAACCCAAGGCUCAGAAAGUGCUAAGAUCAUACAGCUAGCAAAACCUGGAGUCAGGAUUUGAACACAGGUCUGUUCUCAAAGCCUCUCUCCACUGCCUCAUGUCUCUCUCUGCUGAUGCUCAUUCUGUGGUAGCUAUUGAAGCACAAUGGUGGUUCCAGGAGACAAGUGGCCACUGUCCUCUACAGCUGCAGCAGCAGAUUCCUUUCCUUAUGGCAUCUGCCUUCAACACCCUCCCACCUGGGCCUCUCCAUUCCAUCACAUGAUGCUCAGAUCAUGACCUGCACAGACUCAGCAUGCUCGGUGACUCACCUAUGGCUUGUUUCUCUCCAGAAGUGUACCCCACAUGUUGGAAGCUACUAAAGAGGGCCUGACCACCUGCUUCAUUAGGCCCAUUAGCUUUCUUCUUUUGCAGGAGCCAGAUUUGUCAUGUAUUUAUUCUUGAUGCAUUUUUUUUCCUUUGAUCUUCCAGAACAGCCACUUCAAUUUAGGUUUCUACCUGGACAUGAUAAAAUUCCAAGCAUGUUCUCACCCCCAUCCCAGGUUUCAAGGUGUAUUAGUUUAAAGAAUUCCUCUCCAUCUGAGGAAAUGUUAUUGUCUGAGCAAUACCAGAGUUGGAGGUCCCAGACUCACUGAGGGUAAGAUGUUAGAAUUUCAAACUCUUAAUCCUAUUGAUUCCAAGUCCUUUUGAUCUUUUCAACACCUGUCAGGGGAGUUGAGUUUAUAUAAUUGGGGGGAGGGUGACUGAUUGGCUCUGGUUUUAUUACGACCUGUUUGUGCCAUUUAAUUAAUAAUAAAAACAGCUGCCAGCUGCCGAACCACUUGAGGACAUCUUUGCAGCUUCUGCUUUUCCAAAAGCUCAGGCAAUUAUUUGGGUUUCAGGAAGGUGACUGAAUCAGAUCAUCAGCCUGGGAUGGAUUUUGUUUUGCCUUUAAGCAACCUCCAUUCGUCCUUUGUAGAGUCCAUAAGUGAAUUGAAGAACCAAGAAACACACAGCUCUUUUCAAGGACAGGAAAGGGGAAGAAAAGUACUAUUUCCUGAGUGUUUAGGUUGUGCCAGGCACUUAACUCGCUUAAUCCUUUCAACAGCUUUGAGUCGUAGAUCUUAUUAUCCCCAUUUUACAGAUUAGAGAGUCUAGCCUCAGAGGUUAAGAAACAUGCCCCAAGUUCAAACAGCCAGAAAAUGACAAGGCUGGGAUAAGAACUCGUCUGUCUGAUUUCAAAGUCAUUGGGUUUUCACGCUGUGUAGGUUGAAGAAUUUCUUAAUGCAUCCUGAAAAGUAAGAAAACUUGUUUGGUUCUGUUUUGUUGUUUCUGCAUUUUUUAAAUGAAUAAAAUGUGCUGUUUAAAAGUCCUAGGUUCUCACUCAACCAAAUGUGAAGACUCAUUAAAAGCUCUGCUAAGUAAGUGAGAAAUAUAAAUAGGUCAGUGAAAUGAUAUAGGAAUCUUGAGAAACAGCUCAAUGAAAAUCAGUCAGGGAAGUGAUAGACUAAUAAAUGGUGUUGGGAACUGACUUUCAAUAUUAAAAUAAAGCUAAGUUCCUAUCUCAUCUCAUACACAAAAACAAAUUCCAGAUGGCUGAAGUAUCUAAAGCUUAAAAGAGAAAAAAUUAAACAUUUAAAAUUAUUAGAAAAAAAUAGAAUAUCUUAGGGCAGAGAAGACAUCAAAAAAUAGAAAUAAUAAUGGAAAACAUAAAUAAACUUAGCUACCUCAAAAUUUAUAAAUUUGUAAAUUUUGUAAAACAAAAAAACCCAGCUUACAAAGUUAAAAGAAAAGUAGCCUGAGAGAAGAUAUUAGCAAGACUUACAACAGUCAAGAUUAGUAUUGAGAAUGUAUUAAGAAAGAAAUUUUUAAAAAACUCCUACAAAUCAAUACCCAAAGACAGACAACCUAGUAGAUAAAUGGGCAAAGAUUAUAGAACAAGAAGUUCACAGAAAAGAAAGCCACACCCUCAGAAUGAACAAAUAAAAAAGUGUUCAACCCAACAGGGAAAUAACAGCAAAAAUAACACAAUUGGCAAAAAUUAAAUAAUAUAUCCUUGUUAUGUAUGAGUGAGAAUAUAGGCUAAUGGAAAUGUUCACAAAUUACUGGUAUCAGUAUAAAUUUGUACAGACAUCAUGGAAAUUAUUUUGGCAGUAUCAGGUAAAAAUUGACAAUGUGUAUCACCACCCAGGAACCCGCUUCUAGACAUAUCUAACAAAGAAAUUCUUAUGCAAGUGUAGGGCCAGCUUCAUGGACACAGAGUUCUGCCCUCAGAAGGGCCCUGUGCUUGGUUUAAUGCUCUGCUUUCACUGUCUUGAAGUUCUUAAUCGUUUUACUUUUGAACUUGUGCUUUUAAGUGGUGUUUGCUGGGGCACUGCAGCAUGUCAUGAAUGGAGGAGAUGGGUGCAAUAUGCAUGUCAGCCACAUCUUGCUGCCCUGUUCAUGUUAGUAUUCAGGAAGCCCCACGAGCACAGAAUCCCAGUGGACCCAUGAAGUGUGGGAGUUCAACAGGACUCAGGGCAAGAACAAAGUAAGUAUGUUAUGUCUUCAGCUGAGUAAGUGGGGAGGUAAAUACUCGAAGAGGCCACUCUUUCCCUUUGAACUAGAACUUGCUUCAAAUGCAGAAACACGGACUGGCGAACCGAAAACUACAAACAACCAAGGAACCCUGUUGUACUUUUUCUAACUCAUGUUCUUCCUGUAUUUGCCAACCACUUAUACUGAAAAUGACAGCAGAGAAGGAAAGGGAAAGAUUGGACAUCUCACAAUCCCUUUUUCUUUCACUCCUUCCUUAUUCAUCAGUAAGCCAAAGGUAGAGUGUUGGUAGACUGUGCAUGAGUCAAGAAAUGAAAUAAAAACAGUUGGGUUCGUUUUGCAGCAUUUCAACUCCUCUGGUGAGAAUGAAAUACAUACACAUUUAGGAGCUGCGAAAUGCAAGUUGUAUCAUUUCCAUGAUUUUACAUACAAGUUAAAUAUGCUUAUAUUUGCAUUUAAAACAGGUAUUGAACAAUAUAAAAAUGAAAGGUAAGAUUUAUGAUAAUAGCUUACAUUUUUAAUUUUUCUUAGAACAACAUUAGGACGACAAAUAAAAAAACACCACCAUGACAAGUCAAGAGCGAGAUCAUGGAAGAAGGAAAAAACCUUAGCUUUUAUACCUUUAAUGGCACUUUUUUCCUAUAUUUUGAACAGAAGGGCCAGCUUCAUUUUGCACUGGGUCCACAAAUUAUGUAGCCAGCCCUAUGCAUUUGCACAAGGAAACAUGAACAAGAAUGUCCAUUUUAGCAUAAUUGUAGAGGUUAAAAAGAAGGAAAAUAAUCCAAUGUCCAAGAAUAGGAACAUGGAGAGAUUACGAUAUAGUCUAUAGGAUGGACUACUGCAUGGCAGUAUUAAGUAUAUUAAAUAAAUUAACCAAAUCCAUAGGUACAUAGAAGGAGAUAAAAAAAUUGAGAAGAAAUUCAAGCCGAAGAUCAUUACAAGAUAUAAGAGCAUGCAUCUAUGUAAUUUUAUAAAACACCCCAAAAUUCAUUAUUUAUGAACACAUUUAUAUAUAUGGUAAAGUAUAAACUCAUCCACCAGGCACACACCAAAUUCAUGACAGUGAUUUUAUUUAGGGAGAGAAAAAGAGAAUGUCACCAAGAUGAAGAAAAUGGAGGAUUUCAUAUUUAAUUUUAAUCUUUUAUUUCUUAAAAAAUUUUUAUAAGAAAAUGUUUAGUGCUGAAUUUUAUAACAAAAUGUUUCGUGCUGAAUGCAUGAGUUUGACAUGCUGUUCUUAAUGCUCUCUAUAUUUUUUAAUUAAAAAAACUCCUAAUUUAAAUAAAGUAGACCAGCCAUUCCUUCCACUAUCCCUCCAUUCCAAGCACAAUUUCUAUAAAGCAGAAAGAAAAUUUGGUGAGAAUGCAGAGGGGAGCCCUCCAUGCAUAUGUUUCUUUGAACAGGAUACUAAAACAUGAUUUUACCUACUUAUCAAUAUGAGAGAGAUGGCAGAGAGGCCUGGAGUAAAUCUCCUCAAUGUUUGCGAAUGAAAGUUAUGCACAGACCGUUGGCUAAUCAUCGGAUUGGCACAGAAAGACCCCGGUUUCCAGAGUAAUGUUGAUUUUUAACUCUCUUAAAUUGACUUUUUAAAAAAUGCAUGUGACUUUUAUGUCCUGAAUUUGCUAAUAAGUCAGACCUUUGGAAUCUUCCAUUACCUUCUGGAGGAUGGUUACAUUCUUGGCCCUGGACCAAACAAGAGCACAGUGGUGAUUUACUGACGCAUGCAGCCCCGCAGUCCUGGCUCACACACAGAGCUGUAAUAGCUCUUUAAACUCUGAGGGCUUGAGUUCCAAUUCAUUUACCAUAAGCACAAUAUAACAUGGAAAUUAUUUUGGCUGCAGAGGCAAAUGUAGCCCAUUCAUGUAUAAAACCAUUGCAAUAAAAGGAAAAGAAACUUAAUCUAGGAAAGUGAUGCCUGUUUUUGGUUUCUUUUCUAAUUCUCUUUCUUUCUAGAUGCUGGCUCGUUACUGGGAAUUUGGCUGCUAUUUGAGGCCUGGCCCUCUUAAGAGCAACACAGUGCUGGUAAUAGUCCCUGGAAGGUGACUUUCUCAAGCUCAGCCCAAUUAUCCAUUUUUAUUCUGGCCACUAAUCUUUAACUCCAUCCCAUCCACUAAUCCAUUCCCCCAUGAGCAAACAAUGCACAGGUAAGUAACAGGGGACCUCCAUGACACUUUUAAUUGAAAUAGCACUUAAUCCACAACCUGCACCGCUGUCGCUUUUCUACCCAUACCUCAAGACUUGGCAAGGAUGAAACAUGACUUGUAUUUGAAGAAUACAAAAUUCAAGUAUCUCUUCUGUGGAAAGUAGAAAGAGAAAAAAACCUCUCUAUAAAAGCUAGAUGGCAUUUGGAAUUAUUUUAAUAACUCACCCACAACUCCUAUUUUAUCCAAGUUGGUUACAAAGACAGAAUUAAUCUUUUCAGAAUAAUUUAUAAUAUUUAUUCUAAUUUACAUAAGAAAUAAUAAAUAUUCACAAAAUUAUAAAAGUCUCUGUCACUGACAUUUGUAGACAAUCACAAUUGAUCUGAAGUGUCUUCACACUAACUGUUCACUCCAUGGAGUGGUUGUAGCCAAGGUAGGAUCGUUAGCAAAUAAAGUUGGAGAAGCCAUUUUGUGUCUCAAGGUGAGAAUGACAUGCUGAAGGGAGCUUGCUGAGUCAGGGCAACCUCCUCCAGUCUUAUUGCUUUGCCUGUCCUAUUACUUUGACUCUGAUGGGUAUGUGGUUAGGAACCUGGAAUUUUAUCAGCUUAUAUUAUACUGUAUCUGCACAAAAAUCAAUAUACAAUUAACUAUUAAUUAUUUGGAGUCCUGUAAAGAAGAACUGACAAAAAUAUUCUCCUGAAGAACCCGUAACCCUAUCCAUAAAUCAUUCAUAUUUGUCUUUGGAAUAUAUGAUAUGAUUUAUAUUUCAACCAAUUUGCCUCACUAAUUGUGUAUGAUUUUGACUAACGCGAGAACUGUUUGCAGUCUGUGUAGGUAGCAAGUGGAGGAAGAUAAGAAGUCUGUUAGAUGGUGGGAGGAGGGGAGUCAGUCAUGGAGAAACCACGUUUUUACCCUAUGUAAUCCAUAAAGUUGAUAAUGUACAAAGUGGAUGCUACUUGAUAGAAAGAGUAAAGUUGAUUUCCCUUUGCUUGCUUACAGCAUUUUUUUUGUUCACUAACUCAAAUCACUGCCAGGUGAGAAGGGAGAAGCAGGGGGACAGUUGUGACUUCUUUGUUUCCAUUUUGCAGAUUGCACUCAGGAAUACAGGAGAGUUCUUAGCAUGACUGAGACCAUAUAGCCAUUUACUUGGAAGCUGAAGUUCCUGUCAUGGAUGUCCUAACACCAAGCUCAGUUCUGCAGCAAAGCAAAAGUGUACUCACUGGGCAGACAGACACCGAUUACAGGACUCUCUCUAGAGACACGGCCAUACCCUGAAUCUAUUUACUGCCCCCGAACAUACUAGGCACCAGGCACUGUUUAGAGAGAAGCCCCAUUGCUGCAAUUGGAAUAGCCCUGGCCUAGCAGGGCUAUUCCUUGUCCCAUUGCAGAUCAUUAUUUUCACUAUACCUCAUAAAAUUAGCGUUUUUAAAUGUUACUAAAUGGUAUUUAUACUUAUUUUUAAUACUGUGUAAUGUUUCAUCCAGUAGUUAGGUAUACCUUAAAUAUCUAAUCACUAUUUUAUCAUCUGUUCAACAUUUAAUUUUUUCAAUUUUUGAGAAUUACAAAUGCUACAAAGAAUAUUUUUGCAAAUGGCUCUUUUUUUUUCUUUUUUUCGGGGGUUGUGGGUGGUACCAAACUAUUUAAAGAAAGGGUACAAAUGAAAGAACUUAUGUGUAUGUUUUGGUAUAUGUGUUUCCCCCGCCCCCACCACCAAAUUAUUCUCUUAGAGUUAUUCUCACUAGUGCUCUUACUAAGUCAAAGUCUAGAAAAAUUUUUAAGUCCUUUUCAUUUUGUUUUUUUUAAAGGGGUAUGCCAAUUUAUAAUGUCAAUACUGAGUGUUGCUAUUUUAAAAUUUUAGUCUAACUUUAUAUAAUACAUUUUUAAGUACUUUCUUGAUUUUUUUCUUUUGAUUUUCUCAGUUCCAGCCCUGUCACAUUCAGUGCCUCUGCUGUCACAUUACUUGACCUAACCAGCCCCUGUCAAAGCAAGAAAGUUGCUGGGUUUUGCUGGUAACCCAUCCCACUUAACCAAAAGGGCCCAGAAGUUUUUCUUCCUAGGAUAAAAGCAGGACACUUCUUGUGGAAAAUACAACCAAUAUGGUUUGAAUAAGGGUUGCUGGACGCUGUUUUCCUAUUGACAAAUCCUUCUGUUCUGCAGGUACACAGGGGUGGGAUGGCUGGAGGAUGGGGAAGGGAGAGGAUCCAAAGGCACUAAGAACUGUCUUGGCCUUUCUACAAUAAAUUUCCCAGCAUGACACAGAAGCACAGUUACACACUUGCACACACACCACUGAGCCUCCCAAGUGUUGAAAUACUACAUCCAGGCAUAUAUUAAACUAACAAAUUUAAAAAGAAACUACCAUGUCCAGCAAUACUCUAAUCAUCCAAAGUAGUAAUAGUAAAGGUAACUGAUGCUAAUGUCUAUUAAUGCCCCAAAACAUUUAAAAACUCAAGAAGAAAAAGAAAUCUACCCUGAUAAAUAUGAAUAUAUGUUUUUAAUUUAUGCUUUUCUUUAUUUUUAAUUUAUGCUUUUCUUGAAAAAUUAUUGUCUUCCAAUGAUUAAUUCUUUUGAGUCAGGGUGAUGUAUGGUUUUGCCCUGAAACUUUCUUUCUAAAAGAAAUCCCUAGUCUCAGUUUGCUUUCUAAACAAAUGACAGGAGAAACCAUAGGAAAAUGUAAUUCAAAAUCAAAAAGGCUCAUAAGUUUCACUUUCUGAAAAAGUUGCCAGCACCUGGAUAUAUAAAAUUAUACUAUUUCUACAAACACAAUCCUUGAAUUGGAAGCUGGCCCAGAUUUCUACUUCCCCAGAUUCCUACAUUCCCUGUGCAACCCUCUUCAAUCCUGGGCUUGGUGUCUUUUUGGCUUUUCACCAGUAUUCAAAACGUUCCCCUAGUUCAGGCUCUGCAGCCAGCUGUCCAGGAGGCUCCCUGAUGGUUGCAUUAACAUCCUGGGGCAAUACUGCCGUCGUGUGGGCAUGUAAAAUGCUGCAGGUUCAUCCCAAAGUGAAGUUGCAUUUUCCCAACUACAGGCACAAAUGAGUCUUCUCUCUGCUCUUUCACUUCUAGGUUAAUGGGACUCCUGGGUGACUGAAGAUGUCAAGAGGGUUUUGGGUAGACAAUUUGUAGUGCCUGUUUGUCCUGUCUCUGAGAUCUUGAAUAAACUUUGGGAACCUAUUGGGUGAGAGUUGUUGGAAAUGUAAAUUUACAAGAUGCAUUCUUAAUAUAUCAGACCUAAUUAAAAAUUUUGCCAAUAAAACAAUGUGGCAACCCUGUACCAUGUGUGAUGGCAUGCUUGUGACUUGAUUUAUCCUUGUAAAAAUGACUUUACUGGAUAUGUGGUCACCAGACCUAAUGGCCUCUGUGAUUUAAUUUUUUAAAUAUGGGAAAUAUCUUUGCUGCCGAAACUCACUAACAUCUUUUUGAACUUUACGGGAAUUGAUGUUUCCAGCUGAAAGAUGGAUUUAGAGUUUGGGACAGAAAACACAGUGAUGCUAAAAACCAAAAGUUAUUUGGAAAAAACAUUUGAAUCAGCACCGAAAUGAUGUAGUUUAGCAAAAACAUUAACAAUAAAACAUUACCUUUCUUGUCAUAAGACUAUUUUCUUUUUUACAAACAGCUUAUAAACUUUCUCUGUGAUGAACCUUCGUAUACAGUUCAGCUGAAGACUAUAAGCCUGUUAGAGUCCCUUGGGAAGAAGAAACCUAUGCAUCUAGGUUGUUCCUAAAAAAGCUGUUGUUCAACUAAGACAUGCUGUCCUUACAGUGCUGUCACCGCCAGAAAUAAUCUUUAAUUCUGUCUUCUUGGUGUGAAUUCUCAACUAGUAAAACUCUAUAUUGAAAUGCAAAUUAGCUCUUCCGAGUACAAGCUUGUAAAAAUGUCAAAACACCUCACAAAAAUUCUAAUUGCCACAUAAUUAGGUAUCUAAACAAAAGUUCUAUGCUGAUAUUUUAAUUUUGCUUCAUUGCAAUAAUGUACAUUCAAUAAUGGGCCCAACUAGGACAAGGUGAUAAGUUAGGGAAGAAAGUAGCUAAUAGCACCAAAUAAGGAUGCCCCUGAACCCAGAGCCUGGCAGAAAAUAGAAUGGACUUCCAGAGAAACAUCAUGGGGCCUAGGGAAAUAAACACCGCUUAGGGAGAAUUAGAUUAGCCAGAGUACAACAAACUUCCAUUACAAGCUGGAAUUUCUUUUAGAAGGAAUACAUGAAAGUGUGUCUUUAUAAAGAGGUGGUAUCCUGGAGUGAGCACUAAAUCAGUCUAAUGCCUUCAAUCUUCUUGAUUUCCCCCUACAGAACUGUACUUCUUAUUAAUGUUUGUAAUGACCACCUGUGGCACUGUAGGAUGCUGAAUUACCAAAGAAAGAUUAAAUUAUGUCCUAUUGAUGACACUUAAUAGACGUCUAGCAGGUGCACAUGUUACAGAAUGAUAUUUGACAAAUGUAGAAAUGAUAAGGG
RNAcentral lists this long non-coding RNA (18494 nucleotides) under Homo sapiens (human). RNAcentral's name for it is "HSALNT0314889". Lineage: Eukaryota; Metazoa; Chordata; Mammalia; Primates; Hominidae. The record is from RNAcentral.